GAACCUGCGGAAGGAUCAUUACCGAGUGUAGGGUUCCUAGCGAGCCCAACCUCCCACCCGUGUUUACUGUACCUUAGUUGCUUCGGCGGGCCCGCCAUUCAUGGCCGCCGGGGGCUCUCAGCCCCGGGCCCGCGCCCGCCGGAGACACCACGAACUCUGUCUGAUCUAGUGAAGUCUGAGUUGAUUGUAUCGCAAUCAGUUAAAACUUUCAACAAUGGAUCUCUUGGUUCCGGCAUCGAUGAAGAACGCAGCGAAAUGCGAUAACUAGUGUGAAUUGCAGAAUUCCGUGAAUCAUCGAGUCUUUGAACGCACAUUGCGCCCCCUGGUAUUCCGGGGGGCAUGCCUGUCCGAGCGUCAUUGCUGCCCAUCAAGCACGGCUUGUGUGUUGGGUCGUCGUCCCCUCUCCGGGGGGGACGGGCCCCAAAGGCAGCGGCGGCACCGCGUCCGAUCCUCGAGCGUAUGGGGCUUUGUCACCCGCUCUGUAGGCCCGGCCGGCGCUUGCCGAACGCAAAUCAAUCUUUUUCCAGGUUGACCUCGGAUCAG
RNAcentral lists this ribosomal RNA (543 nucleotides) under Aspergillus flavus. RNAcentral describes it as "eukaryotic LSU rRNA". The stretch from base 204 to 357 matches the Rfam family "5.8S ribosomal RNA". The record is from RNAcentral. Lineage: Eukaryota; Fungi; Ascomycota; Eurotiomycetes; Eurotiales; Aspergillaceae.